AAGUGAGCUGCCCCAUGGAUAACGUGGUGCCUGCCUCGGCGUGCGUGUAGAAGAAGGUCCAGCUAGCAAGCCAGAAUCGAGGGAUUCAAAGAAACGGAAAAGGGAUACUGUACACUGAGGUGGAGGCUUUUUUUGGAGACCGUAUCCAUCGGGGACUGAAAGGAAGAUGUGGACAUAAUUCAGAAGAUACAUUUGGAGCAGCUGUCGUUCUGCUGGUUGACAGAAGGACUAGACAGAAGAGACUUCAUGAACAGACUGUUGAGUGAGUUUGAGACUUGGCUGGACUGCUCUCCUCAGCGGGUAGUGAUCCAUGGUACAGCCUGCAGCUGGCGUGGUGCUCUCAAAUCAUGAGUAAGUUAAACCCACUAGUAGGGUACAUUAAGAGGGAUCGGGCCCAGCA
This 400-nucleotide long non-coding RNA is filed under the name Dromaius novaehollandiae (emu). RNAcentral describes it as "lncRNA (ENSDNVG00000014699.1)". The record is from RNAcentral. Lineage: Eukaryota; Metazoa; Chordata; Aves; Casuariiformes; Dromaiidae.